GCCAGCAGCCAUAUCACCCUGCAAGUCACAACUGGCAACCCACUGAAGCUCAGCAGGUGUGAGCCUGUUCAGUACCUGGAUGGGAGACCUCCAGGGAAAAACUAAGGUUGCUGCUGGAA
This 119-nucleotide ribosomal RNA is filed under the name Lepisosteus oculatus (spotted gar). Lineage: Eukaryota; Metazoa; Chordata; Actinopteri; Semionotiformes; Lepisosteidae. The record is from RNAcentral.